GGAAAAGAACCGAACACGCCAAAACCUACAUACCCGUAGCUGUGAAAAUCUAUGAAAACAAAUAUCCUACUUCUACGGGGAGGAGACCUUCCAGCUGACCAGGAACUAUGAGAAACUCGAAGUCCAAAGAGCCACCAUCUUAUGUGACCUCGCAUUCCUACGCA
Notechis scutatus (mainland tiger snake) is the source of this 164-nucleotide non-coding RNA. NCBI's taxonomy places the organism in Eukaryota, Metazoa, Chordata, Lepidosauria, Squamata, Elapidae. The record is from RefSeq and is a predicted model, not a curated record.